GGCCGAGCCGUAGUCGGACCCUGUCGAGACGGCCGGUCCGCACUAUGUGCGUGUAUCUGGUUCGGUUUUGGCAUCUCUUGAAGAGCGUGUCUGCGCUUGAUUGCGUGGCGCGGUAUUCAAGACUUUUACUUUGAGGAAUUAGAGUGUUCACGGCAGGCAAGCGCCUUGAAUAUAUUAGCAUGGAAUAAUAAUAUAGGAUUUUGGUUCUAUUUUGUUGGUUUCUAGGACUAAAAUAAUGAUUAAUAGGGAUAAUUG
Molecule: ribosomal RNA, 255 nt
Filed under: uncultured marine alveolate
Lineage: Eukaryota
Description: partial 18S ribosomal RNA
Rfam family: Eukaryotic small subunit ribosomal RNA
Source: RNAcentral